Long non-coding RNA from Gallus gallus (chicken), 4625 nucleotides. RefSeq lists it as uncharacterized. The transcript has 3 exons. Lineage: Eukaryota; Metazoa; Chordata; Aves; Galliformes; Phasianidae. The record is from RefSeq and is a predicted model, not a curated record.
UAAUACAAGCUGGCAAAGGGAAAAGAAGUUAAAGGAGGAACUGAAAGAGGAAAAGACUUACUUGAGAGUGGGAUGAUAAAAUAUAUAAUUAGCAGAAAUGGAUACUAAAAGAGUACAUUAUAAAAUAGGAGACUAAAAGAGAAGAAUGGGAACAAAGCAGAAUAGGAUCUAAAAUGACCAAAGGGAAAAGCUGCAGUUCCCAAAAGGAGAUGGAGAAUAGGUAGGAUUCACCUUUUGCAGAUACACAGUUUUGAUGAUUUUGUAUUUUGAAAUAACACUGGCCAAGCAUAUCAUGCAGGCAGCUUCUUUCUAUCAGAAAUCUUAGAUUCAUUACUAAAAGUUCUGUAAAAAUGGGAAGUGCAUUCCUAAAACUUCUGGAGUUGCAGACACAGAGGAAGAUAUGGAAAGCAGAGUCCUCUGGGAGCUGUGCACAGACAUAGGAGAUGUCAGUCAUCCUGGAUCCAUUACCAUCUGUUUACACUAAGGCAGGCAAUCAAUUUUUAGAGGCUGUCAUAAAACAGAAAGAUUUUUCUCCUUGCUAAGGAAAAAGAAGUAUUAAUUUCCCUCGGCUUUUUUCCCUCUCCCCUUUUAUAGCAGCGUGAAACUUCUCAGCUAUCAAGUCAGUAACACUGAUGGAGUGAAAAUACUCCCAUUUAAGUGGCAAGAGCUUAAGACAUGAAAUAGCAAUCCCUUUAAGCUUCUACUUCUAAAUAAGGGCAGAAGUGUUUCACCGUCUGUAUGGGAACUGUUGAAUCGUGGCCUGAACCUCUGAUUGACCACCUGAGGUGAGCACUGAGUCAGCCAUGGGAACACAGGUGAAGGCAAUUCACCUGUGUGGCUGGAAGGGGUAGAGCCACACUAGACCCCUAGACCCCAUUUAAGGGCUGACUAGCACUGGGGAAGGAUCUCUGGAGAUUGCUCCUCUUGGACACUUUUUCUGGUGAGCCCAGGACACGGAAAAACAGCUCGAGGAGCAACGGGAGGAAACACAGCUCUAUCCUGCAGCGAGGGGGUCUGCGCAGGAGGUAGGCGCUGCUCUCACGGUGAGAAGGCAGCACCGAGCUGCCCGGCGGGGCGUGCAUACGUACUGAGCGAGCUACAUGUGCCGCGUGUCAUCACGGAUGCUUUCAAGUCCCUCCCUCCCUCUCCGCUGUCGGGGCUGUCCGUGGGAACCGGGCGGGAGGAGCGCCGCAGCCCCGUGGGGACUGAACGGGUCUCGGAGGGCUGCGUUCCCAGACUCAGUAAUAAGAAAAACCACAGAUCCUGGCCAAGCUGUUUCCCAGGAUAUGGAGUGGAAUGUGGAAGUCAUGAGAAACAAAACACAAAUUAUAAGAGGACUGAUGUCAGGAAGAACUCAUCUUCUCAUUCGUACGUGUAUAUAGCUGGUAUAAAGACUGAGUUACAUCAAAGAAAAGCAAGGGAAGACUUCUAUGUGACGCAUGUAACAUGUUCAAAUAAAACAAACAAAAAUCCUUUUGGUGGUUUCUAGUCUCAGCUGUAAACUGGUAGCAAACUGCAUUAACAAGAAAAGAAACGUCCAGUGUUCCAAAUGUAGUAUUUCUACCACUCCAUAUUUCUAGCUACCAAACGUCGUAUAUUUCGUUUAAUUUAUAUAUUUUAAAGACUGUAAUUAUUAUACCAUAUGAAAGCAUGAAUUUCAAGGCUUAAGCUGUCAUAGUCACCAGAAUUUUGAAUUACAUGAUUUUUUGAAGUUAUUUGAGUAUAUCCUCAACAGGUUUGUUGAUGACGGAAAGCAGAGUGGUGCAGUUGAUAUAAUAGAAGGAAGGAAUGCCAUCCAGAGAGACUUAGAUAGACUUGGAAUGUGGGCCCAUAUGAACCUAAUGAGAUGCAACAAAGCCAUGUGCAAGAUGUUGUGCUUGGGUCUAGGCAAUACCAGACAUAUUUGCAGUCUGGGAGAAGAACUCAUUGAGAGCAGCCCUAUGGAGAAGGACUUGAGAGUUCUGAUGGAUAAAAAGCUGAACGUGAACCAACAGUGUGUUCUCACACCUGAAGGCCAACAGUUUCCUGGGCUGCAUCAAAAGAACUGUGACCAGCAGGGAGAGGUAGGUGAUUGUCUCCUCUGCUCUGCCCUCAUCAUGCCCCAUCUGGAGUACCGUGUCCAAGUCUGGGGCCCUCAGCACAGGAAAGAUGUUGAGCUUUUGGAGAGGGUCCAGAGGAGGCCAUGAGACAACUCUCCUCUGAAGAAAGGCAGAGGGAGAUGGACUUGUUAACUUAGAGAGCAGAAGGCUAUGGGGAGACUUCAUUGUGACCUUCCAGUACUUGAAGGGAGUUUGUAAGCAGGAGGGAGACUGUCUUUUUAUGUGAUCUGAUAUUGAUAGAACAAAGGGGAAUGGUUUUAAUCUAAAAAAUUAAAGGAGAUAUGUGUGUUGCUAUGUAUUGCUGGUUUCUCUAAACACUGGCAAAGUACAAUAAAAUAUAUAUAAAAGAAAAUGUAUUCAAUAUCUAUGUUAACUCAGAGUUCAUUCAGGCACAAAAUUAGCAUGUAAUUUACUUAUUAGAAAAGUGAUCAGUAAAAUCCAGACGCAAGGAACUGUUCAAAGGGUUUGUUGCCAAAAAUAUGAGGAUAUUUUGCCAUGGUUUUGAUUAGUAAAUACAUGGAAAACUGUGAUACUCAUCUUCAAAAACAUUUUUAGUUCAUUAUUUUUGUUAUGUCUGUCCUCUGAUCAGAUCUAGAUUCCAAACUUUACUGUUGUUCAUCUUUGAAUGUAAAGGGGAUGCAGGAACAUCUCUUUACUAUCAAAGCACUGUGCUUGUGCUAACACUUGGGGGCUUUCUUCCUGUCAUGUAGGCAAAAUGUUAAUUUAGGGGUAGUGCUACAUGCCAUCAAAGACAGUGGUUAUUAGGUGGUUGCAUCAGAUCUAUGACGCUCAACUGAAAGUCUGUUUUUUUUUCUGCAUGGAUUUCAUCCAGACCCCCCAACUGAGAUGAACUCUUGAAUAGCAAGGAAAAAUAGUCUUUUAUGUAGAAGCAAGCAGGUAAGUUACUUCAGAUAUCACUUUUCACAUCAAUAACUUUUUUUAUGUUUGCCCUUGUAUUAUGAAAAGUAAGAUUCCACAGUGUCUUUUAAUAUUUACUUGUAACACUUGCUGCUUUAGUGGUUUUCUAAACCACUUCAGGUUUUGCAUAAGUUACCAGUGAAAAUGGGGCUAAAAUGGACAGUGGAAUUUAGCAGCGCAGAACCAUGUAGCCAUAAGGACUUCCGGAGCACUCCAUUGUUCUUGUUCAUCUCUUCUAAAUUUCUACAAGCUUGUGCUGUAUGUUACUUUCAAAGUUAAAGGCGAGGAGCAUUAAUACUAAUGUUGAAGAUCACUGUUUCAAAUUGAAUAUGGCAAGUUGUUAAAUUUGCCCUGUUUUCGUAGCGGCAUGUAAAAAUGGUUUUUGAAUGUUCACACGGGAAAGAAGAAAUGCUCUGAUGCUUAUGAAUUCUUGUCUUUUGCUCUAUUUCCUGUACCUUUUUGGCAUUCAUCCUACUUGCCACAGAUCUCAUCUACCUGGAUUGUUGACUGUCUCGCUCUGAAUAGAGUGCAGAUGUGGGGGACAAGAUGGAGGAAAAAAUGAGUCAGGAUUUGGAAUGGUUUAUUAUUUGAUUUUCUGUUUCAGUUCUAAUUCUUAUUCCUCUGUAGCUAGCGUAUUUAUUUCACCUUUUUCGUGCUCUAAAAUGCUUUUCCUUUUCUAUCUCCUUUUUUUUUGUGUAAUCACCUUGCUUUCCUUCUUGUUUCUGAUGCCCUUUAUGAACUCUCUGUCUCCAGCUUCCCAAUAGCUCUACUGAAAAACAGCAGAAGGUUCAGGCACUUUUUUCACUAAUGUAGAAAAACAAUUUUUGACUUUCAUAAACUAAGCUAUUCUAGAUCUAUAUGAAAGACAAUUUGGAAAUAAUUCAGACAUUCAAUGUAGUUUGGAAUCCUGUAUUUGAACCUCUUUUGGGUUGAGGUUUUUUUAUUUUUUUGUGGAUUUUUUUGUGUGUGUGUUUUGUUUGUUUGUUCUGUUUUUCAGGAUAUAAUAGCAUUAAGAUAGAGUUAAUUCACAGGAAAUAUGAAUUUGUUUGAGAAAGUCUUACUGUAGAGAUUCAGAGGGUUGCUAUUUUGAUUCAUUCUUUCUCUUCAGAAAGCUCCAGAGAAAAUGAAGUUUAAAAUUAAACGUCUAGUGGGGAAAUUGGUGCCAAAACAAGGCUUUGAAAUUAAUACUGUAGUUAACAAGUCACGAUUUUUAUGAUUUGCAAGUGAAAUUGCUCUUUUUAAUUAAAAAAAAAAAUAUGGAAGAGUGUUUACUUUCCAAACAUGAAAUAGUGUUGGAAGCUGUUCUUAAUUCUCUGGAUCUUCUGUGCUUUUAUCAAUGCUGCUACAAUGUCAGGUAAGCAAACACUGCAAAGAGCCCAAUUUCAGUGUUCCCACCUAAGCUUCUGGGACCAUUCCAAGGGCUUCAGUUGGCAUGGAUCAGCCUUUAUCUGCUAGAAGACUUGAGACAUUUAUUCAUCAAUAAUGUGAGGUAAGAUGCCCUAAUUCUCCCUUCACCUCUUUCUACUCUUCUGACAGGUGACCACGAUCUUUAAUUGUUUCCUUUUCUUCCUCUUUUGUUAAAAUCUAGCUUCAGAGUGCUGUUGUUUU